CAACAAGCUUGCUUGUUGGGGUUGUAGGACUCCGAUAUGGUAGUCUGUUAGUAUAGUUGAAGGAUUUGGAAAAUUCCGCUAAAGAGGGUGAAAGCCCCGUAGACGAAAUGCUAACAACACCUAGGAGGAUCCUGAGUACGGCGGAACACGAGAAAUUCCGUCGGAAUCCGCGGGGACCAUCCCGCAAGGCUAAAUACUCCCUAGUGACCGAUAGUGAACCAGUACCGUGAGGGAAAGGUGAAAAGCACCCCGGAAGGGGAGUGAAAUAGAUCCUGAAACCGUGUGCCUACAACAAGUCAAAGCUCGUUAAUGAGUGAUGGCGUGCCUUUUGUAGAAUGAACCGGCGAGUUACGAUUGCAUGCGAGGUUAAGUCGAAGAGACGGAGCCGCAGCGAAAGCGAGUCUGAAUAGGGCGAAUGAGUAUGUAGUCGUAGACCCGAAACCAUGUGAUCUACCCAUGUCCAGGUUGAAGGUGCGGUAAAACGCACUGGAGGACCGAACCCACGUACGUUGAAAAGUGCGGGGAUGAGGUGUGGGUAGCGGAGAAAUUCCAAACGAACUUGGAGAUAGCUGGUUCUCUCCGAAAUAGCUUUAGGGCUAGCCUCGGAAUUGAGAAUGAUGGAGGUAGAGCACUGUUUGGACUAGGGGCCCAUCUCGGGUUACCGAAUUCAGAUAAACUCCGAAUGCCAUUCAUUCAUAUCCGGGAGUCAGACUGUGAGUGAUAAGAUCCAUAGUCGAAAGGGAAACAGCCCAGACCACCAGCUAAGGUCCCCAAAUAACUAUUAAGUGGAAAAGGAUGUGGGGUUGCACAGACAACUAGGAUGUUGGCUUAGAAGCAGCCACCAUUUAAAGAGUGCGUAAUAGCUCACUAGUCGAGUGACCCUGCGCCGAAAAUGUACCGGGGCUAAAUAGUUUACCGAAGCUGUGGAGUGCACCAUCAGGUGCAUUGGUAGGAGAGCGUUCUAAGGGCGUUGAAGGCAGAUCGUGAGGACUGCUGGAGCGCUUAGAAGUGAGAAUGCCGGUAUGAGUAGCGAAAGACAGGUGAGAAUCCUGUCCACCGAAUGACUAAGGUUUCCUGGGGAAGGCUCGUCCGCCCAGGGUUAGUCGGGACCUAAGCCGAGGCCGACAGGCGUAGGCGAUGGACAACAGGUUGAUAUUCCUGUACCCGUUGUUUUUGUUUGAGCAAUGGAGGGACGCAGGAGGCUAAGAAGUGCAGACUGAUGGAUAUGUCUGUUCAAGCAGUAAGUCUUGGUAGGAGUCAAAUGCUUCUACCUAUACGGACAAGCUGUGAUGAGGAGGGAAAUAAUAGUACCGAAGCUUCUGAUGUCACACUGCCAAGAAAAGCUUCUAGUGAGAAAACAACGGCCCGUACCGCAAACCGACACAGGUAGUCGAGGAGAGAAUCCUAAGGUGAGCGAGAGAACUCUCGUUAAGGAACUCGGCAAAAUGACCCCGUAACUUCGGGAGAAGGGGUGCUGCUCUAACGAGCAGCCGCAGUGAAUAGGCCCAAGCGACUGUUUAUCAAAAACACAGGUCUCUGCAAAAUCGAAAGAUGACGUAUAGGGGCUGACGCCUGCCCGGUGCUGGAAGGUUAAGAGGAGUGCUUAGCGUAAGCGAAGGUA
RNAcentral lists this ribosomal RNA (1621 nucleotides) under Listeria monocytogenes. Its description in RNAcentral is "partial 23S ribosomal RNA". It matches the Rfam family "Bacterial large subunit ribosomal RNA", at positions 275 to 1907 of the family's 2925-position model. The record is from RNAcentral. Lineage: Bacteria; Bacillati; Bacillota; Bacilli; Caryophanales; Listeriaceae.